RNAcentral lists this ribosomal RNA (649 nucleotides) under uncultured archaeon. Its description in RNAcentral is "bacterial SSU rRNA". It matches the Rfam family "Archaeal small subunit ribosomal RNA", at positions 154 to 801 of the family's 1478-position model. The record is from RNAcentral.
CCAUAGGUUUAGGGCACUGGAAGGUCCCUAAACCGAAAGGGGCUCUGCCCGCCCGAGGAUGGGCCGGCGGCCGAUUAGGUAGUUGGUGGGGUAACGGCCCACCAAGCCCAUAAUCGGUACGGGCAGUGAGAGCUGGAGCCCGGAGAUGGACACUGAGACACGGGUCCAGGCCCUACGGGGCGCAGCAGGCGCGAAACCUCCGCAAUGCUCGAAAGAGCGACGGGGGGACCCCAAGUGCCGUGGUACAACCACGGCUUUUCCGGAGUGUAAGAAGCUCCGGGAAUAAGGGCUGGGCAAGGCCGGUGGCAGCCGCCGCGGUAAUACCGGCGGCCCGAGUGGUGGCCACUAUUAUUGGGCCUAAAGCGUCCGUAGCCGGGCUUGUAAGUCCCUGGCGAAAUCCCACGGCUCAACCGUGGGGCUUGCUGGGGAUACUGCAAGCCUUGGGACCGGGAGAGGCCGGGGGUACUCCUGGGGUAGGGGUGAAAUCCUAUAAUCCCAGGAGGACCGCCAGUGGCGAAGGCGCCCGGCUGGAACGGGUCCGACGGUGAGGGACGAAGGCCAGGGGAGCAAACCGGAUUAGAUACCCGGGUAGUCCUGGCUGUAAAGGAUGCGGGCUAGGUGUUGCUUGGACCUCGAGUCCAAGCAGUGC